This 468-nucleotide ribosomal RNA is filed under the name uncultured bacterium. RNAcentral's name for it is "partial 16S ribosomal RNA". It matches the Rfam family "Bacterial small subunit ribosomal RNA", at positions 28 to 507 of the family's 1533-position model. The record is from RNAcentral.
GACGAACGCUGGCGGCGUGCUUAACACAUGCAAGUCGAACGGAAAGGCCCUGCUUUUGUGGGGGGCUCGAGUGGCGAACGGGUGAGUAACACGUGAGUAACCUGCCCUUGACUUUGGGAUAACGUCAGGAAACUGGGGCUAAUACCGGAUAGGAGCUCCUGCUGCAUGGUGGGGGUUGGAAAGUUUCGGCGGUUGGGGAUGGACUCGCGGCUUAUCAGCUUGUUGGUGGGGUAGUGGCUUACCAAGGCUUUGACGGGUAGCCGGCCUGAGAGGGUGACCGGCCACAUUGGGACUGAGAUACGGCCCAGACUCCUACGGGAGGCAGCAGUGGGGAAUAUUGCACAAUGGGCGGAAGCCUGAUGCAGCAACGCCGCGUGCGGGAUGACGGCCUUCGGGUUGUAAACCGCUUUCGCCUGUGACGAAGCGUGAGUGACGGUAAUGGGUAAAGAAGCACCGGCUAACUACGUG